GUCUGUUGCGUUGCUUCAACAAAGCACCUGAUAAUAGGUGGCUGAUAGCCUUGGUGAAAGAUAACUCAUUAACAGCAAAACUGAUCGACUGGUAGCACGAACAAAACAUAUGAUUUAACUCCGCAAAGCACUUAUAUCAUGGAAAUAAAACCGUCAUCGGUUUAAACAAAAUACGGCUAUGAUUAUGUUAAUUAUCAAUGUGAGGAGGAAUUCUUCAAGAGAAUUGUUAAAGCUGCCCAUUCUAAAGUUAUACCAACUAGAUAAAUGACCUAAACUUUGAGGUUUACAUGUACACACCUGAUAAAUGAUAUUUGAGAAACACGUGAUUUCUGAACUGCAAUUGGUAUCCUACGUUGAUGUUAGAAGACAUUCAGACUUCUGUAGGUAAAAUAUGACAGAAAGACCACCAGUGCUUAAGGCUUCUAUGUUGUGCAUAAUAUGCUCUUUGUAAACGUUAAAUUUUUUAAUUAAAGUAUGUCGUUCCA
Molecule: long non-coding RNA, 485 nt
Organism: Mytilus californianus (California mussel)
Lineage: Eukaryota; Metazoa; Mollusca; Bivalvia; Mytilida; Mytilidae
Exons: 3
Source: RefSeq, a predicted model, not a curated record